Triticum aestivum (bread wheat) is the source of this 1859-nucleotide long non-coding RNA. RefSeq lists it as uncharacterized. The record is from RefSeq and is a predicted model, not a curated record. The transcript is spliced from 3 exons. NCBI's taxonomy places the organism in Eukaryota, Viridiplantae, Streptophyta, Magnoliopsida, Poales, Poaceae.
UUUAAUUAUGUAUUUUUUCAGAUUACAUGGAAGGUAAGCAUCGCGUUAGAAAUUUCAGGGGAUAGAAUUAUUAAAUUCCAUAACUUCAUAGGAAGGUUGUCACAAAACGUGGAACACCGAAAUACAUGCCGCUGAAAAGAAUUUAAUGUAGCCACAAGUUACUCGGGCUCCUACCAAAAUCACGCUUUUCUUCCUCCUGAUUUGCAUCUAGCUGAGGUGCCAGGGAAGAUUGGCCACAGUACGAGACUGCCGCAGUCUGACGGCUCUGGUUUUCUUGGUGACUCGGGAGUGCAUGCAGUUCCGGCGGCGCAUGUUUGCAUGAUGCUUCCCAUAAGAACUGAGAUUCAGCGUUAAUCCUUUCUUUGCGAGACACAAAGGGCAGACGCCAUUGCUACCUGGUCGACGACCCGUGUCGGGUGACACUACGUCGUUCCGCGUAGUUCCGCGUUCCUAGCAACUAUGAGCUACACCUUGACGACAGGGAUACAUACUGACAGUAAUCUAAAUGAUGAAAGUGCUUGAGAUAUAAAAUAGUAUUCUGCAAAGACUAACAAGGUGCGAUCAAGUGUAGGUGAAAUCCACCACUCUGCUUGCAUCAAUGAAACUCAAUUAGUGACUAUUCAUGUUGUUUCAGUACGUUCUUGGUUUGUACGGGAACAUGUUUAACCAGGAUCGAAAUUUGUUUGUACCUCCAAAUUUAUUGAUGUACAGUUGACAUUGCAUACAAAUUGUUGUUAUGCUAGAUGAAUUGGUACCAAAUUUGCUUUGGAACAAUAAGGAAGGAGGUAUUUUUCUUUCUUUCAGCAAUAUAUAUGAGUGCCAUCAUUUGCUAUACCAUACCAAAACGUUUCACAGAAGUGUUCAAAUUAUUUAUUAAUAUAUUAUAUUUGUUACCACAAAAAGAAAGUAAAGGAAUGACCAAUGCAAUAGAUUUAUAUAGUUUUGUAGUUGUAGUAUCUAUUCAUAACAGCAAGAAGAGUAAAAAAAUUAAUAGUAGUUUCUUAUGCAUUAUUGUGCAGAUUUUUGUAUUCUAAAAAGGUAGCCAAGAUGGACAUUCGUUAAGAUGAUCCAUAGAUAACAGAAGUUCUAAAUAUUUCCAAAUCACGAGUUUUAGAAGCAGCAUAUUACUUCAACAUAUAGACUUUGAUCCGAUCAUUUGUUUCUGCUACGAUCAACACUCCGAAGCCAAACAACCAAAUUGAAAAGUAAAACAUGGAGUGGUGUUUUAUAUUUCUUACCGAUUGGUGAAUUAUCUUUUUCUAGAUUAAUAUUUCCACUUUUUCAGUCUGUUUAUAAUUGACAAAUGUAUGCUACUGGAGUGGCUACACACAGGAGUUGCAGCUAAGACAAUAGUUUAUAAAUGUCUAGGUAUGCCCUGCUGGAUUGUUUCUGAUCGGCUUACAUUGUCUCCCUUCCCCCGUAGGAACUCUGCUAUAUUUUUUUAAUAAGCAAGAGCUGGAGCUGGAGGACAUGGAUUCAUAAUGACAUUAAUCUCCAUGAUGAAAUUGCUAGAGAGAGAGAGAAUAAUAUUCAACAAAGAGUAAAAAGGAAUUGGUUCCAAUCUACAUCAGAACAAUCAAACUUUAACGGAAGGAUGUAGUGUUCUUUCUUCCAGUUUCUUAAGGGACAUAUAUUAAAGCCUUGAUUUUCUCAACUAUGUAAAAACAUUUCAAACCGUUGUUCAAACUAUUGACUACUAUAUUAUAUAUUUUGUUAGCACAGACAGAAGGUAAAUAGAGCAACUAAUGCAAUAUAUUUAUGUAGUUUUGUACCAGUAAUAGGAGAUUAUGUUGCAACAAUAUGUAGAUUUUUGUAAUCUACAAAGUUUACCAAGAUGAAUAUUCGUCAAAUGAGCCAAA